AGAGUUGAUCCUGGCUUAGAACGAACGCUGGCGGCGCGUCUUAAGCAUGCAAGUCGAACGGCAAGAGGUAGCAAUACCUCCUAGAGUGGCGGACUGGUGAGUAACACGUGGGUGACAUACCCUUCAGAUGGGGAUAGCUAUUAGAAAUAGUAGAUAAUACCGAAUACGAGCACAGGGGUUAGAGAUCUGUGAGGAAAGGAGCUAAGGCUCCGCUGAAGGAAUGGCCUGCGGCCCAUUAGCUAGUUGGUGAGGUAAGAGCCCCACCAAGGCGAUGAUGGGUAUCCGGCCUUAGAGGGUGAACGGACACAUUGGGACUGAGAUACGGCCCAGACUCCUACGGGAGGCAGCAGUGGGGAAUAUUGGGCAAUGGGCGCAAAGCCUGACCCAGCAACGCCGCGUGAAGGAAGAAGGCCUUCGGGUUGUAAACUUCUUUUAUGAGGGACGAAGGACGUGACGGUACCUCAUGAAUAAGCCACGGCUAACUACGUGCCAGCCGCUGC
This 500-nucleotide ribosomal RNA is filed under the name uncultured bacterium. RNAcentral's name for it is "bacterial SSU rRNA". It matches the Rfam family "Bacterial small subunit ribosomal RNA", at positions 8 to 518 of the family's 1533-position model. The record is from RNAcentral.